Molecule: long non-coding RNA, 1887 nt
Organism: Coturnix japonica (Japanese quail)
Lineage: Eukaryota; Metazoa; Chordata; Aves; Galliformes; Phasianidae
Source: RefSeq, a predicted model, not a curated record
AGCUGAGGUACUGGCCUUUUUCUUUAAACCUAGUUGCUUAGCAACUAGGAAAGAUAGAGCAUUUUUAGAAAAUAAGUCCUGAUUGUUUAACAGUGGUUUUAAGAUUUUAAAUCGCGGGGAUUUUUAGUAGCUUGGACUCGGUUACACAAAUUUUAAUGAGAAAGUCUUACUCCCACUGAAAUCAAGGGAAGACUCAGUUUGCAAGUUCUCUGCCGCAGUGUACUGUGAAGAAGGAGGAGUGAGCAAAUGACCAUGUGGUGCUGAACUGUCUGCUGGGCUAGAAGGAAAACUACUGCUUGUGUUUCCUGGAUUUGGUGCAGAAUACAGCUGUCAGAGUCCCUUGGAGAACACAGCAGAUUUUCAACACCUUAAAGAUGAUCUAAAAGUUGUCAGUUAUUGAGUGGUAACACUGAUAAGUGGGAAAACACUUUGAUUAGCACUUGAUGCAAAAUCAUUCCCAGCACCCUAUCAAUUAGCAUUUAUGCUGCUGUCGCUGGCUCCUGCAUAUAUUUUGUUUGAUGUGCUGAAUACCAAAUACAAAAAAUCUACAUAGUUUUCAUUCAUCAUAAAACUCAGUAAGAAGUUUUAAGUCAACUGUAUGGCCCUAACCAUUUCUUGACUACUUUCUUAUGAGGCCUAAUGAUUCUUGAGACUCUUUCGGUUUAAAAAAAAAUAAAUCAUUUUAAUAGUACAUGGCAGUGUCGUCAAUGGGACAUUUAUUUGAGUUUUACAGGAAAACCACUAUUGUGCUUAUUGAAAUAAAACAAAAGUUAACUUAAAAUCGACUUAAUGUCAUAUUUUUCUCUCUCAUUCUUUAAGAAAGCAAAUGCCUCAGCCUGUAUAGACAAGUGAUACAUUGGUGUGUUUCUCUACAGAUUGCAAGAUCCUGCUUUUCUAUUUAGAGGAAAACUAGAACUUAGUGAAUUUGGCUCUGAACUAUAUUCAAAACACUGAAGUUCAAGAACAAAUUUUGUGCAUAACUUAAAAUAUAAUCCAUUAUUAUGACUGCAUUUACUAAUCUUAAAAGCACUUACAUCUCAGGUCUGAGACCUGGUUAAAUCCCCACAGUGCUUGUUCUUCACUUUUUAAAGGCUUCCAGAACAGUAGGUAAAGGGUUCCCACAGAACUCCUUUUCAGCACUAUCCCACUCAGCUUGACGUGGGGGUUCUGGAUGACUCUUCCAUCUGUGACUCUGGAAGAAAGUGUCUGAAAAUCAAAUAUUUCCUAACUGAGAUACCUCAUUAACACCUCAUUCUUAAUUCUUGGAUAUGGACCAAGCUUAAGGAGGAGAUGAGCCACUCAGGCUGUCAGCAUCAAAGUACAGAUAUAUCUCCAGAUGACCACUUUACUUCUAACAUCUGCUGACACAUUCGACUUGCUGAAUGUUGGCUGCUGAUCCAAAACAGAGGCUGAAGAUGAUUUUUCAGUGUUUGGACAAUGUCUGCUAUUAUCCCAGCUCUUUAAGCAGCACAGAAGUUUGUGCUGGACUAAAACUCUGAAACAGUAUUCAUAAUUAGAGAUACAUUUUCCUUGCUUGCCCUUCUUUGCCCCAGACAGACAUUCAGUUUGCUACAGUUAAUGAUAGAUAUCCUAACAAGACACCUCAUAGAGCAGCCAGGGCACAUAGCAGAACAGUUGAACACAGUAUUUUGAAGUCUGAUGGCAACUCAGAAGACCAGACCCCCAUACCCCAGCCAGUUUCCAAACAUAUUUUUUUUUAUUUUCUUGCAUUCUUUUUAUUUUUCCUGUGCUUCAAUUUUUCACAUCCCCAGUCUUUCUUUGUAACCAAAUUUAAAUUAAUUUAUCCUAUCAUCAUCAGUGCUGUUUUAGCUGUUAAUGUAACAAUAUGGCCACUCUAUAGAAAGUAAACUAAAAUAUUGUAAUUAA